AGAGUUUGAUCAUGGCUCAGGAUGAACGCUAGCGGUGCGCCUAACACAUGCAAGUCGAACGGAGACGGAAGUGACACAGAGUGAUGAAAAUAAGAAGCUCUCAUAAAUAAAGAGUAUUCCUUUUCUCCCUUCUGUGUCACUUCCUGAUCAGUGGCAAACGGGUGAGUAACGAGUUUGUACCUACCCCAAAGUGAGGGAUACCUCCAUGAAAGUGGAGUUAAUACCGCAUAGUCUCGCAAGAGUAAAGCCGCAAGGCGCUUUGGGAGGGGCAUGCUUUCUAUCAGCUAGUUGGUGAGGUAAUAGCUCACCAAGGCAAUGACGGAUAGCUGGAUUGAGAGAUCGGCCAGCCACAAUGGAACUGAGACACGGUCCAUACUCCUACGGGAGGCAGCAGUGAGGAAUCUUCCACAAUGGGCGAAAGCCUGAUGGAGCGACACCGCGUGAAGGAUGAAGCGUUUACUCGUGUAAACUUCUUUUCUGUGGGAAGAUAAUGACGGUACCACAGAA
This 507-nucleotide ribosomal RNA is filed under the name uncultured Proteiniphilum sp. Its description in RNAcentral is "bacterial SSU rRNA". It matches the Rfam family "Bacterial small subunit ribosomal RNA", at positions 8 to 485 of the family's 1533-position model. Lineage: Bacteria; Pseudomonadati; Bacteroidota; Bacteroidia; Bacteroidales; Dysgonomonadaceae. The record is from RNAcentral.